Molecule: ribosomal RNA, 270 nt
Filed under: uncultured bacterium
Lineage: Bacteria
Description: partial 16S ribosomal RNA
Rfam family: Bacterial small subunit ribosomal RNA
Source: RNAcentral
UGGCGUAAACAGAGGGAAGCGAGCCUGCGAGGGGGAGCGAAUCCCAAAAAUAACGUCCCAGUUCGGAUUGUAGUCUGCAACCCGACUACAUGAAGCUGGAAUCGCUAGUAAUCGCGGAUCAGAAUGCCGCGGUGAAUACGUUCCCGGGUCUUGUACACACCGCCCGUCACACCAUGGGAGUCGGAAAUGCCCGAAGUCUGUGACCCAACCUUAGGGAGGGAGCAGCCGAAGGCAGGUCGGAUGACUGGGGUGAAGUCGUAACAAGGUACC